This 441-nucleotide ribosomal RNA is filed under the name uncultured bacterium. Its description in RNAcentral is "partial 16S ribosomal RNA". It matches the Rfam family "Bacterial small subunit ribosomal RNA", at positions 339 to 795 of the family's 1533-position model. The record is from RNAcentral.
CUACGGGAUGCACCAGUGGGGAAUAUUGGGCAAUGGGCGCAAGCCUGACCCAGCAACGCCGCGUGAGGGAAGAAGGUUUUCGGAUUGUAAACCUCUGUCCUUGGGGACGAAGAAGUGACGGUACCCAAGGAGGAAGCUCCGGCUAACUACGUGCCAGCAGCCGCGGUAAUACGUAGGGAGCAAGCGUUGUCCGGAAUUACUGGGCGUAAAGGGUGCGUAGGCGGCAUAUUAAGUCAGGUGUGAAAUACUCGGGCUCAACCCGGGGGCUGCAUUUGAAACUGAUAUGCUUGAGUGUGAGAGAGGAAAGUGGAAUUCCUAGUGUAGCGGUGGAAUGCGUAGAUAUUAGGAGGAACACCAGUGGCGAAGGCGACUUUCUGGCUCAUAACUGACGCUGAGGCACGAAAGCGUGGGGAGCAAACAGGAUUAGAUACCCGCGUAGUC